Molecule: non-coding RNA, 437 nt
Organism: Pelobates cultripes (western spadefoot toad)
Lineage: Eukaryota; Metazoa; Chordata; Amphibia; Anura; Pelobatidae
Source: the annotation of a GenBank genome assembly
GAAAAAAGAACAUAAACAAAUUAUAUUGCAAUACUUCAUGUGGGAUAAAAGGAGACACCUACAGAUAUAAAAAUGGAUCUUACAUUUAUUCACACUCCAUAAUCUGUUUACGUUUUAACCAGUGGCGGAUCCAGGGCCUGAUCUCGGGAGGGGCACUUGUAGAUUAGUUAAAGAAAUAAUCCAGACACAAUAACCACUACAGCUCAGUGUAGUGGUUAUGGUGUCAAUAGUGCCGGGAUCCCCUCCCACAGUAAGUAGUCAAACCGUUUAAGAACAGUUUGACAACUUACCUGAGAUCUGCUGGGAAAUGGGGCUGUAGUAGGGCAUAGGAGCAGUGGUGUGUGUGAGUGGUGCAAUGUGUAAGGGGUGCAGUGUGUGUGUGAAGGUUGUAGUGUGUGAGUGAGUGCAGUGUAUGUGUAACAGUUGCAGUGUGUGUA